This 73-nucleotide transfer RNA is filed under the name Halodesulfovibrio spirochaetisodalis. It matches the Rfam family "tRNA". Rfam says of the family: Transfer RNA (tRNA) molecules are approximately 80 nucleotides in length. Their secondary structure includes four short double-helical elements and three loops (D, anti-codon, and T loops). The record is from Rfam by way of RNAcentral. Lineage: Bacteria; Pseudomonadati; Thermodesulfobacteriota; Desulfovibrionia; Desulfovibrionales; Desulfovibrionaceae.
GGGGCUAUAGCUCAGUUGGGAGAGCGCUUGACUGGCAGUCAAGAGGUCAUCGGUUCAACCCCGUUUAGCUCCA